This is a non-coding RNA of Plutella xylostella (diamondback moth), 329 nucleotides long. NCBI's taxonomy places the organism in Eukaryota, Metazoa, Arthropoda, Insecta, Lepidoptera, Plutellidae. The record is from RefSeq and is a predicted model, not a curated record.
AAUAUUUUUCAAUAUUUAGGUACUAAGUGUUUGGAUUGUGUCUGUGUUGUGAUGGCACAUAUAUUGUUGAUAGCAUUGAUGGAAAACGAAAGCCUGAAGAGGGAAUUGGCAAUAAACCGAAAAUUUUUAGGACAGGCAGUGAGCCACUUAAUCUACCCGACGAGGAGUUCAGAAAAAAAAUUAGGCUCACCCGACUACAAUUUAGCAGGUUGUGCGAAUAAGCAGCUGAUUUAAAGAUUCUUGCUGCUGUUGCCUUUUAUGGGAAUGGAAUGUACUUACCAGAAAAAAAUUGUGGCCUAGUAUCACCUAACUAUACAGGCCUCUCGCAU